This 506-nucleotide ribosomal RNA is filed under the name uncultured bacterium. RNAcentral describes it as "partial 16S ribosomal RNA". It matches the Rfam family "Bacterial small subunit ribosomal RNA", at positions 30 to 523 of the family's 1533-position model. The record is from RNAcentral.
AUUGAACGCUGGCGGCAGGCCUAACACAUGCAAGUCGAACGGUAACAGGAAACAGCUUGCUGUUUCGCUGACGAGUGGCGGACGGGUGAGUAAUGUCUGGGAAACUGCCUGAUGGAGGGGGAUAACUACUGGAAACGGUAGCUAAUACCGCAUAACGUCGCAAGACCAAAGAGGGGGACCUUCGGGCCUCUUGCCAUCGGAUGUGCCCAGGUGGGAUUAGCUAGUAGGUGGGGUAACGGCUCACCUAGGCGACGAUCCCUAGCAGGUCUGAGAGGAGGACCAGCCACACUGGAGCUGAGACACGGUCCAGACUCCUACGGGAGGCAGCAGUGGGGAAUAUUGCACAAUGGGCGCAAGACUGAUGCAGCCAUGCCGCGUGUAUGAAGAAGGCCUUCGGGUUGUAAAGUACUUUCAGCGGGGAGGAAGGGAGUAAAGUUAAUACCUUUGCUCAUUGACGUUACCCGCAGAAGAAGCACCGGCUAACUCCGUGCCAGCCGCCGCCGUAA